This 73-nucleotide transfer RNA is filed under the name Phymatostetha sp. D9. RNAcentral describes it as "tRNA-Trp". The record is from RNAcentral. Lineage: Eukaryota; Metazoa; Arthropoda; Insecta; Hemiptera; Cercopidae.
AAGGAUUUAAGUUAAAUUAAACUAUUAACCUUCAAAGUUAAAAAUAUAAAUAAUCAAUAUUUUGUAAGCCUUA